RNAcentral lists this unclassified non-coding RNA (328 nucleotides) under Hevea brasiliensis (rubber tree). Lineage: Eukaryota; Viridiplantae; Streptophyta; Magnoliopsida; Malpighiales; Euphorbiaceae. The record is from RNAcentral.
UACAUACAUAAACUAGUUAAUUAGGCUAUGCAAAAUUUAGCAUGAACUUUAGGGAACUAAAAGGACAUUAGUUUAGCAGCUCAUCAAAUUCUUUAUUAUUUCUCCAACGAGCUUUGUUCAGCGCAAUGAGAUUAUAAAAUUGAAAUGCUUCGUCUUUUUCCCAACAAUGUGAAUAUAAAUGCUGUGGCUUGACGAGGAUACAAGGCAGGCACGCAUGAGUUGAAUAACCCAUGAAUAGUGAUUUUGCAGAAAACUGCAGAGUUUAUUGUGUUCAGAGAUGCUGGAUCUUGUUGGAAUGUAGUUUGUUCUUUGCCUAGCUAUAUAACAA